This 277-nucleotide ribosomal RNA is filed under the name Klebsiella pneumoniae. Its description in RNAcentral is "partial 16S ribosomal RNA". It matches the Rfam family "Bacterial small subunit ribosomal RNA", at positions 472 to 748 of the family's 1533-position model. Lineage: Bacteria; Pseudomonadati; Pseudomonadota; Gammaproteobacteria; Enterobacterales; Enterobacteriaceae. The record is from RNAcentral.
ACGUUACCCGCAGAAGAAGCACCGGCUAACUCCGUGCCAGCAGCCGCGGUAAUACGGAGGGUGCAAGCGUUAAUCGGAAUUACUGGGCGUAAAGCGCACGCAGGCGGUCUGUCAAGUCGGAUGUGAAAUCCCCGGGCUCAACCUGGGAACUGCAUUCGAAACUGGCAGGCUAGAGUCUUGUAGAGGGGGGUAGAAUUCCAGGUGUAGCGGUGAAAUGCGUAGAGAUCUGGAGGAAUACCGGUGGCGAAGGCGGCCCCCUGGACAAAGACUGACGCUC